GCUGGGUGUGGUGGCUCAUGCCUGUAAUCCCCGCGGCUCGGGAGGCUGAGGCUGGAGGAUCUUGAGUUCAAAGCCAGCCUCAG
Molecule: small RNA, 83 nt
Filed under: Marmota monax (woodchuck)
Lineage: Eukaryota; Metazoa; Chordata; Mammalia; Rodentia; Sciuridae
Source: RNAcentral